ACUGACGUCCAUUAUCACCACCAGGAUUGAUCCAAGGCUUUUGUUGUGUUUGGCUUUUGAUGAGUGUUACGAUUUUGGCGAGCUGUCUGUGGUUUUUGGGCUGUUUUCGUGAAGUGGAGGUCAUGUAAUAUGAUGGAUUUUUGUUGAGAAGAUGAAUUGGACUAGCAUGUUUCUUAUUUCCAUCUGUGUGUGUUUGCUCAGGGAUGAAUUAAAGCCGAGUAGGUUGUUGCUGCUCCAGGAGGUUAGGAUAUGGUCAGAGUUCUCAAGUUCAGGACAGCCAUGUCGACAAAAUGGGUCAGUGUGUAUAUCCAACUUGUUGAUGAAGGCAUUUAGCCUAUUGUGUCCUGAUCUGAGACGGUGUAAAGUGGUGUUGAUAAGUCUGUUCUGGUGGUGAAACCAGUCCACGACGCCAAGGCUUGUUUUGGAGGUUACGCUUGGUUUGCCACAGAGUUUUAGAUUAUUGAGAGUUGAUAUUGACCAUUUCUUUUUAUACAGGGAAAUGACCUCAUUGGGAGCGAGAAUAUUCUCGAUGGAAUUGAAGAGGGGUAUUUCGUCCAUAUUACUGGCCAGUUUGUCAGCCACCUGGUUUCCAGUGAUCCCGAUAUGGCUUGGGAUCCAAGUGAGGUAUGUCUGAGUGCCGAAUGCUCUUUUCCAGAUGUCAAGGAGGAUCGGGGUUUGAGUUAGAUUACUGGUAGCGUCGAUUGCUUGGAGGGCCACUUUUGAAUCACAGAAGAUGUAGAGUUCGUUUGGGGUGGAAUCUAGAUGAUAGCAUACUUCUAGGGCCUUUUGGACCCCAUUUAGUUCAGCGGACGCCUUGCGAGAGGUGCCAUGCCUGUUCAAUUUGAAGGGAGGGAAGCGAGAGCACAGGAAGUGGCGUCGUUAUUAACAGAUCCGUCGGUGUAUCCUAUGAUGGUGGUUGGACUGAUAUGUGCUGUCAAGCUGUUUAAAGUGGCACGGGCUCUUUGGGGGUUGGCGGAUGCUUCAGCUUUUUUCAUGGGAAACCAGAGCGAUUUUUAGGGGGGUACUGCCCAAGGUGGAGGUGGUUAGAGCUGGUUUGCGUAGUUUGGGCUGACAGUGAAUAGGCUGUUUGAGUAGUUCAAUGUUUUUAAGUCUUUAAUCAGAGUAGUGAGGCUGGGGACGCUGCGUAGUGACCAAGUUACGGGGUAUAGGAAAUAAUGAAUAAUGUUGAGCCUGCUGAUAGUUCGAGUGGGUGAGUUUGUAACUUAGCUGAAUGAGAUACCGCGGAUAGUUUAGAUUCACGGCCUUUUCUUUUCUAGGGGACAAACCCUUCAAGUGUCCGGAGUGUAAUUGUUCUUCCGGACAAGCGGUCACCGACAAUCUCACCUCAAGAGUCACCGCAAAGCUUCCCAGACAAUCGGUAAACCCGGUGCGAUCCGUACAGUGUCUUCUGCCGCCAACAAGAGGAAAUUAAAAGCUAAGUCGAACAAACAGCGAGUGUCGAACGGAGAUAUAGAUUCUGAAGCUCAUCUGGCGAAAGUCAUCGCCGAUAUCUGGUGACCUGUCGAAUCAACACAAUUCUUUGGGCGAUCAAAGUGGAUCCCUGGGAAAUUUGACUGUGAAAUUCCACUUAGACGAAGCCGGCAAUGUCCAAUUGCCAACAUUGGACUCGACUACGUUGCUGGACUUGAGGGACUUGAGCGAUCUUUUCCUGACCCAGGGCGAUGGACAGGUCCAAGGGAUCGCAUUGACUCAGGAGAUGAAUUUGUCGCAUCUGUUAACCGAGAACGAGUCUAAACCGGGACGAGCUGAGUAAGAAUUUUUAUGAACUCUGAAUCCGGUUUGCGACUUUUGACGGGGAACCACGGAAGAACAAUGCUCGUUUCCAGUUCGCAUGCGGAUCAGCACAAUUCCGAAGUAGAGGAGGGAGCAGAUCACGCUAUCCUGCUAGAGGCAGUCGAUCCUGUUGUUAUUUUGGGAGUUUCCAGCGAAACAAAUCCUGAACGGGUGUCGGUAAUUACGGCAAGAAAUCGCAACUUCCAAAAGUGAAUUCAAAUGUUCAAAUUUAUUUUUCUCUGAAAUAAUACUGUUUCUCUGACACUACUCAACGAUCGGUCAUUGAGUCAUCGGACAUUUGCAUCUCGCUUAUUAGUAAAUUUUGUGUUUAUUAUCAUCGAUUAUGAUAUUUCUGUAAUUUUAUAUGCUCUCUUAAAAUAAAAUGUUUGUAUAAAUUACAUCUACUUAAUAUAAUUUUGUAAUUAAAGAAGUGUGCCAAAUUUCAAACUUUGUCUAUUGUGAACAAUGAAAAUCAAAAACGUUACGUUUUGCUCACUUAAUCGCAUUUAAUCUUACCCAUCUCUAUUUUGGUACCUACCGCU
This 2336-nucleotide long non-coding RNA is filed under the name Daphnia pulex (common water flea). Its description in RNAcentral is "uncharacterized LOC124193404". The record is from RNAcentral. Lineage: Eukaryota; Metazoa; Arthropoda; Branchiopoda; Diplostraca; Daphniidae.